RNAcentral lists this transfer RNA (100 nucleotides) under Ophiocordyceps unilateralis. It matches the Rfam family "tRNA". From Rfam's summary of the family: Transfer RNA (tRNA) molecules are approximately 80 nucleotides in length. Lineage: Eukaryota; Fungi; Ascomycota; Sordariomycetes; Hypocreales; Ophiocordycipitaceae. The record is from Rfam by way of RNAcentral.
GGCAAGAUGGCCGAGUUGGUUAUGGCGCCAGGUUAAGGUCUAAGCUUAGCAUUGAUUCCUGGUGGAGCAAUCCUCCUGGGUUCGAGUCCCAGUCUUGUCA